RNAcentral lists this ribosomal RNA (253 nucleotides) under uncultured bacterium. Its description in RNAcentral is "partial 16S ribosomal RNA". It matches the Rfam family "Bacterial small subunit ribosomal RNA", at positions 524 to 776 of the family's 1533-position model. The record is from RNAcentral.
UACGAAGGGGGCUAGCGUUGCUCGGAAUCACUGGGCGUAAAGGGCGCGUAGGCGGCCUGGCAAGUGGAUGGUGAAAUCCCUCGGCUUAACCGAGGAACUGCCAUCCAGACUGCUUGGCUUGAGACCGGGAGAGGUGAGUGGAAUUCCCAGUGUAGCGGUGAAAUGCGUAGAUAUUGGGAGGAACACCAGUGGCGAAGGCGGCUCACUGGACCGGUACUGACGCUGAGGCGCGAAAGCGUGGGGAGCAAACGGG